Molecule: non-coding RNA, 5161 nt
Organism: Misgurnus anguillicaudatus (oriental weatherfish)
Lineage: Eukaryota; Metazoa; Chordata; Actinopteri; Cypriniformes; Cobitidae
Source: RefSeq, a predicted model, not a curated record
UUGUGUCAAAGUGUCUUUGAUGGUUAAUUACUUCCUGUUACAAUACAUUCGAAAAGUAAAAAGUAUACACAUUUAAAGCCAAGACUCCAAAGUUUCAUUUCAUGUAGGAAUUACUGCUGAAAGAUUUUUUGAAGAUGAGCAAUUCAUGCAUGAUUAAAAAUUGUGACAACCAACCCCGGUCUCCACUACAUUAACUUAAUAAAAGCAUAUUUCACUUUGGGUAGCCUACCUAAAUAUAUCAUACAAUGAAGUAUGUUCAUGUACAUGUUAUAUUUAUUAAAAAUAACAGAGGCAGUAUUUCGCUCUUGAAAUACAUUUUUAUAAUCUUCAUACUUUUGUAUAAUUAGCUUAUGCUCCUCCGCUAAAAAAAAAUACACUGCUUGUAUGUGCUCUCUCCGUUUUCUAUUCCGAUUGGUUGUUCGUGCCGACGUCACUCUUUUAUGUGCACGCGCGGGUGGAGUAAUCAUAACCUAAAGAUCAAAGCCUGAGUUGACAGAGAAAGUUGAUAAGCCGCUUCAUAUGGGACCAAUAAAGCCUGAUUGCAUCGGAUUGGUUUUGUCAACUCAAAACCAAUCCUGUAACCCCGAGUUUGUUCAGCUACCUUCAUGGUAUAGGCCCCUGGGGCCUGUUGCACAAAAGUAGAAUUAAGACAUCCAGGAUAAAUGACUGAGCUGAGCUCAAUGAAGCCAAAACAAGUGCGUCCAGGCUUAAUUGGUUGCACAAAGACCAAGCCAGGAUGAUCAGACACGGAUUCAUUAAGCCAGGUGAAACCAAUCCUGGAUAGGUGCGUGCUCACGGAUCACUCAAAUAGACCCCGCCACCGAUCACAGAUUCACCGAUUCACCAUGGCAACUAGCGGCGUUCUUUUACCCGUCAGAGGCACAAAUCCAUACGAGGAGGUAAAUACAUAAUUAAGAAGAAAGGCAACACAACCACAGUGAUAAAGCAAAGAGAAAAAGCGUGGCAAAGUAUUGCAGACCGCCUGAAUGCGUAAGUAGUGCACAAUUACACACUCACCACUCCGCUGAAACAUCACUAUUACAAUUAAAAUAUUUAAUUCACAUCUCCAAAACCGCAAUUGUACUCUGAUUAUAAAACAGUUAAUUUUUUAUUGAAAUGGACUGCAAAUAUGAGUGAAAUUGUGUAAAGUAACUCCAUCACACUGGAUAAGGCUUCAAUAAAUUAUAAUGAAAGCCUUACAUUAUUACUACCCUCAUUAUGUACUCUGCUUCUUAUGUUGUCCACCGUUGACUUUUUUUCUGCUUUUAUUAAUGUAAAGCUGCUUUGAAACAAUGAAACAAUUGUGAAAAGCGCUUUAUAAAUAAAAUUGAAUUGAAUAAAUAGAUGAUCUAUUAAUAAUAAUCAUUUUAAUUUAUAAAGCGCAUUUCAAAGGACCCAAGGUCACUUGCUCAUUGCACUGCAACAAAAUGAUUUUCUUCGUGUGUUUGUCUUGCUGUCAGUAAAAAUAUCAAAAAAUUCUUCAAUUAAGAUGUAUUAAAAGUUUUCUUAAAAUACUUUUUCAUAAACACUUAAUUUAAAACAAAUUUUCAUAUUCCAUUGGCUGAUUUUUUUGCUUAUUUUCCUAGGUCAUUUUGCCCAUCAAGAAACAGCAUCUUAAUUCAAGAAUUUUUUUAUAUUUUUACUGAAAAUAAGACAAAAAUACAAAGUAAGUCAUUUUUGCAGUGUGACUCCAUUGAAUGUUCUUGUGUGAUAAAGAAAGUCUCUCUUUUUGUGUGUGUGUGAUGUAGAUUAAAUAUGACCGGGCCAAAACGGAUAUGGCAGCAGGUCAAAAAAAAAAAAAUACAAGAACAUUCUGCAGAAUGGUAAGGGCCCUGACUAAUACUUAAUAAUGCACAAGCAUAGAUUGUACCCAGAAGGUGCCUGCUUACACAUUGUCUGUACUGUCUUAGCAGUGAAAAAGAAUACCCAGAGACAAGGCACGGGUGGUGGGUCACCAAAAGCUGACCUCACCCCAGCAGAGGCCAGCUUUGGAGUUAAAUAAAGGCAGGCCUGUUGGAGGGGAUCCCUGGAAGAAAAGAGACAAGCAUAGGUCCAUCCCAAGAUGCCACCCGCUUCAUACAAGUGUCUGGCAGCAGUGUGUUACUGUUAGAGCCACAAGCACGAGCACCAGACGAUGCUGAUCCAGUGAGUACUCCAUCAAAGGUAUACUGUAGGCCUGGCAUGUCUUGUCUACUAGCUUCAAUAUGAAUCCGAUUAAAUGUGAUAGGGUGAAGGGCCCAUUUCAUCAGCACAUAACGGCAAUGAUGAUGAGGAGACCAUCUUUCUGGAACCAAAAGGCAUAAGGUAUCAUGUCAAACUUGUGAAAGUACUAUUCAGUCUACAAUGGUGAGGAGUCAUCAUUUGGAGCCAUCACAAAAUCUCAUUUCUUUUACAGGACCCAGUGUCAUUGGUGGACUGGACUGCACACACAUAAGGAUAAAAGCCCCCCAGAAUCCUUUGGACCUCUGAAAUCUAUCAGCGCCUAUCACAAGACCUUUCCUCAUCAGAGCGGGAAGCUGUGGAGGAGUUGUGGCCCGGCAUUCGCACCAGGUGGUACAGCGUGCCUCACAUCACCCUGGCUCCAGACACCCGGAGACGACCAAGGCAUGCAACGAGCGAGUACCCAUCUUGAUGCAGCUUCACGGACCGCGUUUCGGGCGAACGGAGACGCCAUCGCCCACGAUGAAAACGGUAAGACUCCACUUGUCAUUGUAACCUGCACUACUUGCCACAUGUACAGUUUUAGCUUCUUCCGUCAGCAUAGAGGGGUUUACAUGUGCUAAGUGUAUUGAAGUAGUAAGGCUGACGGAGAAGGUUGCAGAACUAGAAGCGCGCAUCCGAACGCUAGUUGAGGACAGUAAGACCGCUAAUGUUAAUGUUACAAACACUGUUUCGGGUGCGCCUAGUGUUAAGCGUAAUACACAUGGCUCGGUUCCGACUUCAGAGUCAAGGCGGCUGACUAACUGGGUGACUGUCAGGCGGCAUAGUCACAUUCGGCACCCAAAUCACGUUCCUGUUUUAAUAUCAAACAGAUUUUCUCCACUCAGCAAUACACCGGCUGAGACGUCUGUUAAAGGUGCCCUGGUUAUUGGAGAUUCUAUACUCAGGGACGUUGGCAUUGAGGCACCAGCCACCAUAGUCGAUUGUAUACCGGGAGCCAGAGCAUCUGACAUUAGAUCCAAACUUAAAGUGCUGGCUAAUGCUAAAUGUAAGUUUUCUAAGAUUGUUAUUCACGCCGGCACGAAUGACAUCAGACUCCGCCAGUCGGAGAUCACCAAAGAUACUAUUAAAGAGGUGUGUGAAAUUGCAAAAACAAUGUCAGACAAUGUAAUUUGCUCUGGUCCCCUCCCCGCCUACCGGGGGGAUGAAACUUAAAGUAGAUUAGUAUCUCUUCAUGGCUGGAUGUCAAAGUGGUGCCCUCAGCAUAACGUAGGGUUUAUAGACAAUUGGAAGCAUUUCCGGGGAAGACCUGACCUGCUAAAGAGAGAUGGCCUCCAUCCGUCUCCGGAAGGAAGUGCUAUACUCUCUAGAAAUCUGACCAAUAGUCUUACUUUUGAUAUUGUCUGACUAUCCAGGGCCCAGGUCAGGAAACAGACGCGAAGCGGAGUGCCUGCAACCCCUUCAGCCGUUACUUAUUCACGAUACAGCACUUGCCUCGAGUACCUUAUUGCUUUUAUAAAACGGUUACCACACAAUAUGAAAGUAAAAAAAAUAUUAGUGCAACUUUCAUGAAGUUAAAUCAAUAAAAGCAUUCCUUCCGCUAGAAAAAAUAGUCCCUGACUGCAAACAACAACAUGAAAGCUCAAAUAAAAACAACAAACUGUUCUCAGACUUUGUCUCAUUAUAUGUUUAUGUUAAGGGUAAGGGUGUUGCUAAGGGCGCAGUGAUAUUAAAUAGAACCGUUGGGUGAAGUGGUCAUAGCAGUGUUUUAUCGUGAAUAAAGCACACCUAUUGACCAAUCAGAAUCAAGGAUUGGAACUAACCGUUUUAUAAGUUACAAUAUUACGACUUCAUUCUCUGUCUGUUUUUUUCCUCUUUGGCCCUAAUGUUCUAUCAUUUUAUAUAGAUAUAUAGUCUAUUGGAAACUGUAAAUUUUCUAAUGAUAGCAACAUCAUCUAAAAAUCAUAAUUUAUUCAAAAUUAUUGAAAUUAAUGAUCACAAACAUUUAAAAAAUGACAGUGGGUCUAGUUAUAUGUGAUAACAAUGUAUAUUGGGCAGUGAUAUAACUAUUGGUUUCCGUUUGUGGUGACUGCUGACUGACAUAAGGGAUGAAAUUAAAUAGAUCCUGGAAUUUAGCCUGGUCUGGAGCAGGCUAGCUCCACAGAAUAGAUCUCCAUGGUAAAUUGUACUAUAACAUAUCCUCCUGCCCCCUAUCCAGCUUUAGUGCAACCGGAUCACGGAUCAAUUGAGCCAGGAUCACCAAGAUAUCCCGGCUUAAUCCCUUAUCCUAGUUUUGUGCAAUAGGCCCCGGGUGUGCAUCUUGACACAAAACAAAAACACUGAUGUGUUAAGAUAUGUCAGUACAAAGUGUUUUUAAAUUAAGGCAACUCAACCAUGCAUUUUAGUCUGGGACUAGGAUAAACCCUGUUUGGGAAACCACUCCAUAUAAUUAUUAUUAAAGUAAUUCUGCUAAAUGUAAAGUAAUUGACUGUAGCAACAAUCUGAAUGCCCGCAGGUGUCACUGAUAAUGAUUGAUUGCCUGCACAUAAGUUGGCCGACUCCCAAACUACACGUUGGCUAUCUCUCCCCGCAUAUUUGGACCACUUACAAUUGGUAGUACGCGAGCGUCUCGUGCAGAUACUGAAACGAUUUUUUAGUAACAGCUCGUGCAGAUACUGACACAUUUUUAAACCGCGUCAUUGUUUGUGAAAGUUGAUCGCGUCUCAAAAGCACGGCGUUUAUUACGCGUGAGAUGCUGCAAAGACGCGAACGCAAUUGUCUAUUCGUCUGUGCGUGUUUACAUUGGAAACAAAUGUAUAAAGUAACGGAGUAAACGACAAAAGAGUUUUGUCUGUCCCUUUCUGUGUUUACCUAAGAACCAUGGUUCAGUUGUUUAACGUAACAGUUUUCCUGAAAAUGUCUGAUCCCAGCCUGCUAUGCAACAUUCCCGAAUUGUUUUAGCUACUCAUAUCAUAUUUGUUCUGAUCAAAGGAAAAGAUAA